CUUUGUGCCAUGUAUGAAAAAAACGUGUGAAAUUUUUUAAGAUUAGAGUUGGGAGGAAAACUGACUUUGGCAUACUGAGGCUGUAUUCGGGUUCUUAGACUCCUGCUUGGGAUGUCUGCACGUUGGCACGCCCUUGGCGUCGGGGAGGAGCAGAAUAGACGAUCUCAUUUUCUUAACCGUGGAUCUCCUCCCCUAGACUUGUUGCCUAGGGUAAAAACAUACCUCAGGUAAUUUCUAGUACAAAGAACAAGAAAGCCCUGUGAAGACGGCCUGUUCCAUCCUUCAUCACCCUCGUUACAUCGCCGGUUUGUGCGUCCCCUAAGAACCAUCAUGUGGGUAUCACCUGGGCUGCCACCGUCCACUAGUCACGUCUGCCUGUCCCUGUGCUUAAAGCACUCAUCGUACUUCGCAGAAGAUUCGCUCACACGUCCUUUGAUUCUAGCUAUUCUACUGGGCUUCUCUGGCGGCUUAGAUGGUAAAGCGUCUGCCUGCAAUGCGGGAGACCUGGGUUCAAUCCCUGGGUCGGGAAGAUCUCCUGGAGAAGGAAAAGGCAACCCACUCCAGUGUUAUGGCCUGAAGAAUUCCAUGAACUGUAUAGUCCAUGCGGUCACAAAGAGUCAGGUAUGACUGAGUGACUUCCACUUUCAUUCUACAGGGCACAUAAUAGUAUCUCACUGUGGUUUUAAUUUGAUGACUAAUGAUGUAGAACAACUUUUCAAGUACUUAUUUGCCAUUUGUAUACCUUCUUUGGUACAGUAUCUAUUAAACUUUUUAAUGGAUUGACUUUUUUUUUUUUUUGACAGCACCUCACAGCUUGUGGGAUCUUAGUUCCCCGAAUAGGAAUAGAACCUUGUGCCCUCAGCACUGAAUGUGUGGAGUCUUAGCCACUGGAAUGCCAGGGAAUUUUUAGUUUCUUAUAAAGCUUUCAGGCUUCCCUUGUAGCUCAGCUGGUAAAGAAUCCACCUGCCAUGCAGGAGACCUGGGUUUGAUCCCUGGUUGGGAAGAUCCCCUGGAGAAGGGAAAGGCUACCCACUCCAGUAUUCUGGCCUGAAGAAUUCCAUGGACUGUAUAGUCCAUGGGGUCACAAAGAGUCAGACACGACUGAGUGACUUUCGCUUUCACUAUAAAGCAUUCACCUCCAAAAUGACCAAGCAAUUCCACUAGUAAAUAUUUACCCACAAGAAAUGAAAACAUAUGGCCACUAAAAUAGUCAUACAAAGAUCUUCAUAACAUAUUGAACCCAGGUCUCCCACGUUGCAGGC
This is a long non-coding RNA of Bos taurus (domestic cattle), 1262 nucleotides long. The record is from Ensembl. NCBI's taxonomy places the organism in Eukaryota, Metazoa, Chordata, Mammalia, Artiodactyla, Bovidae.